Molecule: ribosomal RNA, 464 nt
Filed under: uncultured bacterium
Lineage: Bacteria
Description: partial 16S ribosomal RNA
Rfam family: Bacterial small subunit ribosomal RNA
Source: RNAcentral
GAUGAACGCUGGCGGCGUGCUUAACACAUGCAAGUCGAACGGAAAGGCUCCUGCUUGCCGGGGUACUCGAGUGGCGAACGGGUGAGUAACACGUGGGUGAUCUGCCCUGUACUUCGGGAUAAGCCUGGGAAACUGGGUCUAAUACCGGAUAGGACCACAUUUUGGAUGGUGUGGUGGAAAGUUUUUCGGUGUGGGAUGAGCUCGCGGCCUAUCAGCUUGUUGGUGGGGUAAUGGCUUACCAAGGCGUGGACGGGUAGCCGGCCUGGGAGGGUGUACGGCCACAUUGGGACUGGGGUACGGCCCGGACUCAUACGGGAGGCAGCGGUGGGGAAUAUUGCACAAUGGGCGCAGGCCUGAUGCAGGGACGCCGGGUGGGGGAUGACGGCCUUCGGGUUGUAAACUCCUUUCGCUAGGAACGAAGCGCAAGUGACGGUACCUGGAGAAGAAGCACGGGCUAACUACGG